Molecule: microRNA precursor, 82 nt
Filed under: Chlorocebus sabaeus (green monkey)
Lineage: Eukaryota; Metazoa; Chordata; Mammalia; Primates; Cercopithecidae
Description: mir-1233 microRNA precursor family
Rfam family: mir-1233 microRNA precursor family
Source: Rfam by way of RNAcentral
GUGAGCAGGAGGCCAGGGCAGGGCAUGGGGAGCUGCGGGGCCAUUGGAGGGGCCCCAGCAUCUGAGCCCUGUCCUCUUGCAG